GGNUCCCUUGUNUNCCAUUUAUAAGGAGUNGAACCUGCCCAGUGACUAUUUUAGUUAAACGGCCGCGGUACCCUGNCCGUGCAAAGGUAGCAUAAUCAUUUGCNUUCNAAUUAAGGGNUAGUAUGAACGGUUUGANGAGAACUUNACUGUCUCCUUAAAAAUAUAUAAAAACUAACCUACAGGUGAAGAGGCCUGUAUACCGCUAAGGGACAAGAAGACCCUAUCGAGCUUGAGCAACAUUAAUAGACAUACACAUUACUUUCCACUACACACAUUCAUUAUUGAAACCCUGUUCUAUUAAUAACAUCUUUAGUUGGGGCGACUGAGGAAAAACCAAAUCUUCCUCUACAACUUAACAAAUUACACUUUUAGAUCCAGCAUUUUCUGAUCAAAGGACAAGUUACCGUAGGGAUAACAGCGCAAUCCUCCUAGAGAGCCCUCAUCGAAAGAAGGGUUUGCGACCUCGAUGUUGGACUAAGAUAUCCUGAAGGUGCACCAGCUUUCAACGGUUGGUCUGUUCGACCAUUAAAAUCUU
Molecule: ribosomal RNA, 535 nt
Filed under: Dillwynella vitrea
Lineage: Eukaryota; Metazoa; Mollusca; Gastropoda; Trochida; Skeneidae
Description: partial 16S ribosomal RNA
Rfam family: Bacterial large subunit ribosomal RNA
Source: RNAcentral